AGNGAGCCAUGUUGCCUACUCUGUA
Molecule: non-coding RNA, 25 nt
Filed under: Mus musculus (house mouse)
Lineage: Eukaryota; Metazoa; Chordata; Mammalia; Rodentia; Muridae
Source: RNAcentral